RNAcentral lists this transfer RNA (59 nucleotides) under marine eukaryotic metagenome. It matches the Rfam family "tRNA", at positions 7 to 64 of the family's 71-position model. From Rfam's summary of the family: Transfer RNA (tRNA) molecules are approximately 80 nucleotides in length. Their secondary structure includes four short double-helical elements and three loops (D, anti-codon, and T loops). The record is from RNAcentral.
GUUAGCUCAAUGGUCGAGCAGCUGGCUCUUAACCAGUUGAUGAGGGUUCGAUUCCCCCA